GACAGAGGGUGCAAACGUUGCUCGGAAUUACUGGGCGUAAAGCGCGCGUAGGCGGCGCGGUAUGUCGUGCGUGAAAUCUCCCGGCUUAACUGGGAGGGGCCGUGCGAAACUGCCGGGCUUGAGGUCGGAAGGGGAAAGUGGAAUUCCGGGUGUAGUGGUGGAAUACGUAGAUAUCCGGAGGAACACCAGCGGCGAAGGCGGCUUUCUGGUCCGAUACUGACGCUGAGGUGCGAAAGCGUGGGGAGCGAUCCGG
RNAcentral lists this ribosomal RNA (253 nucleotides) under uncultured bacterium. RNAcentral describes it as "partial 16S ribosomal RNA". It matches the Rfam family "Bacterial small subunit ribosomal RNA", at positions 524 to 776 of the family's 1533-position model. The record is from RNAcentral.